GUAGGUGGCAAGCGUUGUCCGGAAUUAUUGGGCGUAAAGCGCGCGCAGGCGGUCCUUUAAGUCUGAUGUGAAAGCCCACGGGCUCAACCGUGGAGGGUCAUUGGAAACUGGGGGACUUGAGUACAGAAGAGGAAAGCGGAAUUCCAAGUGUAGCGGUGAAAUGCGUAGAGAUUUGGAGGAACACCAGUGGCGAAGGCGGCUUUCUGGUCUGUAACUGACGCUGAGGCGCGAAAGCGUGGGGAGCAAACAGGAUUAGAUACCCUGGUAGUCCACGCCGUAAACGAUGAGUGCUAAGUGUUAGGGGGUUUCCGCCCCUUAGUGCUGCAGCUAACGCAUUAAGCACUCCGCCUGGGGAGCACGGCCGCAAAGGCUG
This 373-nucleotide ribosomal RNA is filed under the name uncultured organism. RNAcentral describes it as "partial 16S ribosomal RNA". It matches the Rfam family "Bacterial small subunit ribosomal RNA", at positions 527 to 896 of the family's 1533-position model. The record is from RNAcentral.